RNAcentral lists this long non-coding RNA (270 nucleotides) under Elaeis guineensis (African oil palm). RNAcentral describes it as "long non-coding RNA (EGUI_LNC037959)". Lineage: Eukaryota; Viridiplantae; Streptophyta; Magnoliopsida; Arecales; Arecaceae. The record is from RNAcentral.
UGAGAUGGGGUGAAAUGAAAGCAGAUACUUCCCCCGGUAUUAUUAAAUGAAAGAAGAAUCGAAACAGAGGAUGUUUUAGGGAACAAAGAGAAUCAAGCAGCAGCAGAAAAUAAACACAAGGAAAAAGUAUAAAAACCAAAAUGGAGAUCAGACGGCAAUGUUGGGUGGAAUUGAAGACGGAUGCACAGAAUUACUGGCAGAGAGCGAAGCAAGCCGAUCUCAGAUCUGCACAUGCACUUUUUUCUUCCUCUGUGAACAAAGAUGGCCCCA